This 240-nucleotide ribosomal RNA is filed under the name uncultured Lactobacillus sp. RNAcentral's name for it is "partial 16S ribosomal RNA". It matches the Rfam family "Bacterial small subunit ribosomal RNA", at positions 122 to 355 of the family's 1533-position model. Lineage: Bacteria; Bacillati; Bacillota; Bacilli; Lactobacillales; Lactobacillaceae. The record is from RNAcentral.
UAACCUGCCCAAGAGAUCGGGAUAACACCUGGAAACAGAUGCUAAUACCGGAUAACAACAGAUGAUGCCUAUCAACUGUUUAAAAGAUGGUUCUGCUGUCACUCUUGGAUGGACCUGCGGUGCAUUAGCUAGUUGGUAGGGUAACGGCCUACCAAGGCGAUGAUGCAUAGCCGAGUUGAGAGACUGAUCGGCCACAUUGGGACUGAGACACGGCCCAAACUCCUACGGGAGGCAGCAGUC